GGCCCACAGAGGGAGCCCCACUCCUCCCCUUGGGCGGGACCCGCCCUGGAGAGUGCUUUUAUCCUCCUUCUCCUCCGGGCCUCAUUCUUUCAGCCCUCAACCCCACUCCUUGGAGCAAGGAGAAGCAGAAGAAUUGGGGCUUGAUAGGUGCCUAUCCAGGAUCCGAUGUCCCAGGGGUCCCGGGGCAUUACAUGUCGACAGGGGUUUGAAGCCACACCAUUCCCACCACCAGUCUUCUGAAUCUUCACUCUCCCCACUGCAAUCCACCACAGUUCCCUUAAUGUUGUAGGCAUGGGUCAACCAUCUUCUCUACAACUAUCUGUCCACAUUUAUACAUAGUUGCCCCUUCUUUUUCUGAUUCAAUCCUCUCUUUCCCUCUAAGCCACACAUGACAUCAUAACUACCUCCACAUGUCCCUCUCCUUUUCCUUCUCUCUCUCUGGGUGCUGAUGGAGCUGGAAGGCAGAGUCCUCUUCUCUUCAUCCUAUCACGUCUCCCACGAUGGGAGUAUGGAUCAAGGUUGUUUAUGGGGAACAAAAGACAGGACAGAAAAAUUGAGAGGAGGAAAAUAUAGGAAGAGAGAAAAGACACCUGCAGACUUGAAGGUACAGAGGCCAGGCUCUGGGAAAGCCCCCAACUGUCAUUGCCAAGGUGAUUGCUAUGGUUAUCAAGAAGAGAUUUUGGUGGAAGGUAGCUUCAGCUUUCACUUGAGAUGUGUGUCUACAGCUGCUCCUUACAACUCCCCUCAUCACAUCCAAGCAAUUUCAGGAAAAACUGGUGGUUUACAAGGUGUCAUCGCCAAGAUUAGUCUGUGACAGUGUAUGACAGUGAUAGUAGAGUCUGUGGACAUUUCAGAAUACCACUGUUGACCCAAAGGAAAGCUGGAUAAAUGGUCAUUCAGUCACAUCCUAGAACAAAACCCCUUAUUUCAGAGACUUUGGUCAAAGAAGUAGUACUAAACGGAGACUUGACAACUGCAGUGCUAUCUCCAGGAAUUUCACAACCUCUGACAGAUCUGUUCCAAAUGUUCCCAGACUCAAGUCCAAGUGGUACAAUCUCACCAGAGCCUCUACGUAGGUAAACUGAGAAUUUGCUCUUCUAGGAACUGACUGGGAGGAUUCAACUGUGUGCCCAUACUCAAGGUAUCUUCUGACAUCUGCAAACCUGAAGUGCUCAAGAAAGAACUAUUGAGAGAUAUUCAGUCAUGAAGGCAGGCUAAGAGGAUCCACUGGGUAGAGGCACUGUUCCCAGUAUCAUUUAAAGUGGGUAUGCUCUUCUAAAAAGGCCCCCUGAGUUGGUGUUGUUAUUUCCAUCUGGAGAAAGACCUUCAAGGCAGGAUGCUAUCUAUACUCUGCAUUGGUGCCCUUCCUCAGUCAGAUCUGAAGUUGUAUUUAUUAGCUACAGAGGAUAAAUUUUCAUGGUGGAAGUUGACAUCAAUUGUCAGAAGCAGCACACUUGUCUAUAAGGUGGUCUUGAUCGAAAUCUUGACAAGUCUAUGUCCUUCACCACAAAUGGCAACAACAGACUCUGAACUGAUUGAUCAGCAGCUUAUCUGAUUUACAGGUUUCUGUAGAUAACCCCGCAGGCCGGGGCACCUGGCGCCCAACGUGGGGCCUUUUUGGGUCUGGGGUUCAAGAGAACGUCGCUCCCGAUGGUCGACCAAGGAGCAUAGGACCACCACUUCAGAGAAGGAGCGAGUGAAGGUUCGCAUAAGAUCGCCACUCUAGCCCAGAGUGAGUGAAGAUCCGUGUGGUGAUCGCCGCAGAUUCGCCCAUCUGUGAGAUUGAUCCGUUUGGAGCUCAUUCUGCUUCCAUGAGGAUAUUUGGCCUGUUCCUAAGCCCCAUUUGGAUGAAGUAGCUGCAUGAGCAAAGAAGAAAAGCAACCACUCAAGAAGAGGGAAAUACAGGUUAGUAAUGAAUACUUGGAAAAUCUAUGCUCUCCACCAAAUGAAGAAACAGACAAUCCUGAACCAGCUCUCAUUUGACUUGUGAAGAAAGCGGCACCAGGAAUAUCUCUGGCAGCGUACAAACACCCCACAUUAUUUCGCAGGAAUAAGGACUUUCGUUCUAGGAUGUGACACAGUUAUUAUUUACAUAACUGCUUUUUUUUUUUUUUCUGGAGAAAUCUAGAUCCUGGAAAACAUAUACUGGCCUACUCCUUUUUUUUUUUUUUGUUAAGUAUGACUAAGUACUCCAACUCAGAAGAACAGAGAAAGAAAGCAACUAAUAGUUUAAAGAACCCAGGUACCUGCUGCUACUAGCGUUUAGUUAGUAAUGAGCAGGCGAGUUACUUAGUACUGGACUUCAUGGAUUAACUACAUUUCCCAAGAAUGACUGUGACAAAAACAGUUUAAUGCAGUGAGGCUACCUUCACCUGACCAGUCACAGACGAUGAGAGUGGGACUAAAUGCAAUAUAAUCACUGAAAGUUUACGUUAUUCACUGUUGACACCUUGGUAUGAGAUGUCCCCUUGCUUUCACAAUGUUUGGGCUUCAAAAUAUAGGGGUACAUCAAUCACAGAAAAAGCCCUUGUGUAGUUUGCAGUUGCUAAAAGUAUUAAAUGUAAGGAAUAUUAAGUGACUUUAUUCUGUACUUCUUACCUCCCACUAUUAGGGCAUCUAUGUUCUGUUUAAUAAGUAAAACUUGUGCUUUCACAUUUAACUAAUAAAGCAUCUGUUUUCCUUAA
This is a long non-coding RNA of Erinaceus europaeus (western European hedgehog), 2684 nucleotides long. RefSeq lists it as uncharacterized. The record is from RefSeq and is a predicted model, not a curated record. The transcript has 11 exons. NCBI's taxonomy places the organism in Eukaryota, Metazoa, Chordata, Mammalia, Eulipotyphla, Erinaceidae.